CAGGGGUCACCAGUGCCUGCCUCCCCUGGGAGAGAUUCCGGGAGAGACGGGGGGCUGGGACCAGCCAGAGCCGGCAUGCACCUUCAGGUCACGUUCCUGUGGCUUCGCUGAACAGAAGUUCAAGCUAAAACGUUGCCAGUGGACGGGGAGAGAAGGCCCUGGAGACUGUCACGUGUGAUGCACCCUAAGAAGCUGUGUGCACCAGAAUGCACCCUGUUCUCUAAGCUCGAAACUGCUCGCUUGAUAGACCGGAAGAUGGGUUGAGAGUGGAGCCCGGAGGAGGCAGCUGACCCCCACCAGACAGGCCUGGGCCCCCUCGCCUGCCGCACAGCAAAGCCCCAUGGCCGUGGGGACGCAGUGAAAGAAAGAGGGCGUCUCCUGCAGGGUGCCAGGCAAGGAGAGCGGUGGCCUGUGUCAGGGAGGUCUCACCUGUGCGCCAGGGCGGGCCCUCCACCUGGAGACAGCCACGUGCCGUUCUUGAAGCCAAUGGAGAAAGAGGCAGGGCAGGCGGGGCAGAUGCAAGCACGGGGUUAUUAAAGGGAAGGCGCCCACCCAGCGGGGUGGUCUGGACAAGCC
This is a long non-coding RNA of Manis javanica (Malayan pangolin), 576 nucleotides long. RefSeq lists it as uncharacterized. NCBI's taxonomy places the organism in Eukaryota, Metazoa, Chordata, Mammalia, Pholidota, Manidae. The record is from RefSeq and is a predicted model, not a curated record.